Molecule: ribosomal RNA, 478 nt
Filed under: uncultured bacterium
Lineage: Bacteria
Description: partial 16S ribosomal RNA
Rfam family: Bacterial small subunit ribosomal RNA
Source: RNAcentral
GACGAACGCUGGCGGCGUGCUUAACACAUGCAAGUCGAACGGUAAGGCCCUUCGGGGUACACGAGUGGCGUACGGGUGAGUAACACGUGGGUGAUCUGCCCUGCACUUCGGGAUAAGCCUGGGAAACUGGGUCUAAUACCGGAUAGGACCACUGCCUGCAUGGGUGGUGGUGGAAAGCUUUUGCGGUGUGGGAUGGGCCCGCGGGCUAUCAGCUUGUUGGUGGGGUGAUGGCCUGCCAAGGCGACGACGGGUAGCCGGCCUGAGAGGGUGACCGGCCACACUGGGACUGAGAUACGGCCCAGACUCCUACGGGAGGCAGCAGUGGGGAAUAUUGCACAAUGGGCGCAAGCCCGAUGCAGCGACGCCGCGUGAGGGAUGACGGCCUUCGGGUUGUAAACCUCUUUCAGCACCGACGAAGCGCAAGUGACGGUAGGUGCAGAAGAAGGACCGGCCAACUACGUGCCAGCAGCCGCAGUAA